Small nucleolar RNA from Monodelphis domestica (gray short-tailed opossum), 86 nucleotides. Ensembl annotates it as small nucleolar RNA, C/D box 127. Its record names the gene SNORD127. NCBI's taxonomy places the organism in Eukaryota, Metazoa, Chordata, Mammalia, Didelphimorphia, Didelphidae. The record is from Ensembl.
UGGCAACAGUGAUGACAGGUUUGGUCUGUAUGUAAUAUAUUUUAUUACUACAUGAAGACACCAGUCCCUCUAAGCUGAUGUUGCCA